This 6405-nucleotide long non-coding RNA is filed under the name Sus scrofa (pig). RNAcentral's name for it is "lncRNA (ENSSSCG00030068084.1)". The record is from RNAcentral. Lineage: Eukaryota; Metazoa; Chordata; Mammalia; Artiodactyla; Suidae.
UGGGGAUCCAACCUGUAACCUGAUGCUGCAGAAAUGCCACCAAUCCCAUUGUGCCACAGCAGGGACUCCAACAUGGUCCAUCAGAGCAAGUUAUGAUAGCAAUUUGAAAUAAUUUGACUUAAGGGUUUUAAAUUCCAAUAUACAUAUGCUAAGUGUUUUAUCAAAAAAUUAGGAGUUCCCGUAGUGGCGCAGUGGUUAACGAAUCCGACUAGGAACCAUGAGGUUGCGGGUUCGAUCCCUGGCCUUGCUCAGUGGGUUAACGAUCUGGCGUUGCUGUGAGCUGUGGUGUAGGUCGCAGACGCGGCCUGGAUCCCGCGUUGCUGUGGCUCUGGCGUAGGCCGGCGGCUACAGCUCCAAUUAGACCCCUAGCCUGGGAACCUCCAUAUGCCACANNNNNNNNNNNNNNNNNNNNNNNNNNNNNNNNNNNNNNNNNNNNAAAAAAAAAAAAAAAAUUAAAUCAUACAAAAGAGUGGAGGAGUUCUCUUGGGACACAGCAGGUUAAGGAUCCACCAUUGUCACUGCAGUGGCUUGGGUUGCUAUUGUGGUGCAGAUUCAGUCCUUGGCCCAGGAACUUCCCAUGAGCCUCAGGUACAGCCCAAACAACAGCAACAACAAAUCCCCCAAAACAAAAAACCCCACAAACAGCCAUUGGAAAGGACUGACUUAUUUGAAAUGUAAAUCCUUGAUUUUCACAUUUUAUAGAAUUUUUUAGUUACAGGUGGGGUAUUACAAAAUAUUUAAUAGGCUUAAAAUAGGCACAUUAAAAGAGAACAGGCACUUGUAAGAAUGGACUGGUGGUUAGAGAGCUUUUUAAAUAAAAGGGGUAAAUUUAUUUGUUCUGAGGUGGGAAUCUGGCCAAAGUAAAAACAAACAAACAAACAAACCCAAAAAGCAAAAAAGAAAGAAAAGAAAGGAAGAGAAAGAAAAACGUGCUUUCAUCUAUUUCUGUGCAUAGCCAUGGUAAAUAUCAGAAAGACUCUUUGGUAAAUAGGACCCUGUGGGUGGACUUAGGAGAUUAUUAUAAAUAUAUUCUGUACUGUUUGAUCAUUUUUCAAUGAGUGUGUAUUAAUACAUAGGUAUUAAAAGACACAUAUACGCACACGUAUAUUUUAAGGGAGUGUGUAUGUAUUUUAAAGGGAAUAACAUAGAACACAUGUACGCACACGUAUAUUUUAAGGGAGUGUGUAUGUAUUUUAAAGGGAAUAACAUAGAAGAAAGACCACUAAUCCUGACUUUGCUAUUGGCUGUGUGCCCACCAAAAAAAGUAAACAGAUCUGCUUAUUUUACGUGAUUAUGAUGAAAAUCAUUUGAAAUCAUGGGUGUGGAAGGGAAGAUGCACUUUUCUGUUGCUUAAUAAGGAUAGUGACGACUAGAAAAUGUAGCAGCUCUAUUGAGACAAUUAGGCUAAGAGCUUUUCCUACAGGUCUGACCCAUUGCAGAAAGUGGAGAGGUAGGUAGGGCAGGGUCAAGAGAGGAGCCCUGAUUUGAAGUUACUUCUAUUUAUAAUUGUUACUCUGAAAGGACUGAAACUGGGGAGUCACAAAACAUCCGUGUGUUAGACAAGAUUGUAUAUGGUGGAGUCACAAAAAUACAUCAUUAGCCAUUAUUAGCGAGUGGAAAAAUAAUUAGCAAUUAGGUUUUUUCCCUCAUCACGGCUGUAGAGUUUUGGUUUGGGUUUGUCAGUUUUACUUCCUGUAAAUCUGCAUUAACAUUCCCAAUGGUCUGUAUCCUUCAGGAAUAUCAUAACCGCGGCAUCUAGGAAAACAUGAUUAGGGAAAAAAAAGGUACUAGACUGAAAAUUCAUCGAAGUCUCUGAGUUCUCUUCCAGAUUAAUAAUUUUCUGAUAUAAGAUGCCAAUCAGAGAUUGGAAUAGGAUAUACUGCAUAAGCCCCAGGUUGUUUCCAUAAUAGUAAAGGAACGAAUAUUAGCUUGUGGUUAGAGAACAUUACAUGGUUGUUGACGUCUAUUAUUGCUAGUUCUUCCCCGUGUAACUCUCCACAUCAUCUGGUAACACUCGUGCUAUGUCAAAUAGUACCUGAAUAAUAAGUGUCUAUGUCAAUUAAACAUCUCUAUGAAAAACCAUUCAUUGGCAUUUCAGGAUCUUUCGGCGGUACAGUUUCAUAGCAAAAUGAAACUUAUUGUAAAGGCUUUUGACCAGUUUAACUCCUUUCCCUGUUGAAUAGGUAAAGUUAUUCUUUUUUUUUUUUAUUUUAUUUUUUUUUUUGGUCUUUUUGCCAUUUCUUGGGCCGCUUCUGUGGCAUAUGGAGGUUCCCAAGCUAGGGGUCGAAUCAGAGCUGUAGCCGCCGGCCUACACCAGAACCACAGCAACGCAGGAUCCGAGCUGCAUCUGCAACCUAUACUACAGCUCACGGCAAUGCUGGAUCCUUAACCCACUAAGCAAGGCCAGGGAUCGAACCCCCAACCUCAUGGUUCUUAGUCAGAUUCGUUAACCACUGAGCCACGACAGGAACUCCGGUAAAGUUAUUCUCAUUCUUACUUUCUAAGCAAGGUAAUUAGAUACCGAGAGGAAGGUACCAUUUGCUUAAUAUGAUAACCCUUAAUAAAAAUUAAAAGAAUAAAUACAAUCUCUACCAUUCUAAAAAGAGGUAGAAAGGAAGGAAAAGAAAGUUGGAGGAACAGAGGGAGUGAGAGAGUGAGAGAGACUUUCCAGGCUAUCAUAUGAACACUUUGUCAAGUCCGUAUGAGCCCCUUUUAAAUGGAAUAUUUUAAUGUUAAAAAUUGAUUUUAGUUUGUGGUUUUUUUUUUUUAUUCUCCCCAAAUGUUGUUUCUGAUCAGGUUUCAUUUUUGAGUAAUACAUUUUGAAAAUACACGCUCUUGAUUUUUCCCGGUUAGAUUUUGGAGGGUGUGUUUGAGGUCAACACCUUGAAUUCUCUCAGUCUUUCAGAAGUCUCUUCAUAUCCUCCAUUCUUUCCAAAGAAGACAGACAGAUGGCCAAAAAGCACAUGAAAAGAUGCUCAACAUCACUAAUUAUUAGAGAAAUGCAAAUCAAAACUACAAUGAAGUACCACCUCACACCAGUCAGAACGGCCAUCAUCAAAAACUCUUCCAUUGUCAUGUCGUCAUCAUAAAUUUGUUCGACAUGUAUCAUCAAGCUGUACAUAUGUACCAGUUAUUCUUUAGCCUGAAAGCCGUAAUUGGAAAUCAUGUAAAGGUUUUAGCGUUUGGAGUGGAGUUUGAUAAGAAGUCCAAGUCUGAUAAAAAUGGGACAGUUUGCUAUGACAUCUAGAUAUAAUAGCAUCUUCAAGAUAUUUUUUUUUUCUCUAUUUUUGUUGUCUUAUAUCAGGGAGCUUUUCACAGAUACCUAUUCUGUGUUCUUUUCAAUGGAAAUGUAUUAUUGCAGUAACAGCUGACAUCUUUAGUGCUUAUUCUUCCUGCUAAGGACCUUAAGCACAUCAUACUUUGAGGUAGAUUUUUAUUAUUCCCAUUUUGUAGAGGUGGAAACUAAGGCUUAGCGGGUCUGUAUAACUUGUUUGGGUCACAUCGCUUGUGGCAUAACGAGGCUUCAAAUCCACAGCUGUCGGAUUUCAAAACUCAUGCUUUUAGGAGUUCCUGCUAUGGCGCAGUGGGUUAAGGAUCUGGUAUUGCCAUAGUUGUGGCAUAGGUCGCAGCUGUGGCUCAGAUUUUAUCCCUCGCUCAAGAACUUCUAUGUGCCGCAGGUGUGGCUGAAAAAGAAAAAAAAGAAAACAACAACAAAAACAACAAUAAAAAACUCAUGCCUUUAAUCAUAAAGUCAAACUGGAAGCUAUAUAUCUAAAUACAUAGAUAACUGUCAUAUAGAAACAUAAUAUGAAAUAUCCAUUUGUGUUGCUUUUAUUGCAUCGAGUCAUUGACAGGAUUAGCAUAGGGUAAAAUGAAACAUGAUUGCAUGAGGUUGCUAAUGUAAACUACACUCUGAUUCCACACCUACUUGCUUUUGUUUUGGUGACCUGAGGGGGCAAAGGCCCCAGCACAUGUGGAUUCAGGCUGGGAAGGAGUGGCCCUUGCUGUUUCCUAAAAUUUAGAGCUUAUAGGGGCCUUAGGGAGCUAGUCCAACCCAUGACUUUUUACAUUCAAAUCCCUGGAUCACAGUGGAAAUGAUAGUCUAGGAAGAACUUGUUUCUUCCGUUGGAGGAGAGAUGUGUUGGGGAUACCCAGAGGAGCAUGUGAAUUUGAAGAUGUGAGUCCUAGUUUUGGAAAGCUUAAUGCAACACAGUCCUGAUCUCAAUGGUAAAAACUGGGGCAUCUGGGGCUGAAUCCCAAUGACGGCUGUUUCCUUCUGAACAGUUACUAGACAAUACAUCUAGAUUAAUGUUUGUGGCUAAAUUUAGGGUUCUUUUUUUUUCUUCUUCUGAUUUUCCCAAGAUAAUAAGUCUCUGACUUCUAGUGAAUUGAAUUGGGUUAUAAAAAGGAGCUUUCAAUUUCUUCUGUAGCUAUGAUUGCUCUUUCUACUUCCUUAUAUGUUUUCUAGAGAAAGCUCUUUCUGAGCAGUAGCUUUAUCUGUUUUCUUAACCUCAGGAUCCUCAGUGCCUUGAAGCUUAUAAUGGGAGCUCAGUAAACAUAUAGAGAUAAAUAAGUGGUAAAUGCCAAACUUGGUUUAAGGAUGCCUUUACUGAGAACAUGAGACUUGACAGGAAAAUUAGACUCUAAAGAGAUUUUUUUUAAAGAAGAAUAAGUUAGGGAGUUCCCGUCAUGGCUCAGUGGUUAACAAAUCCGACUAGGAACCAUGAGGUUGUGGGUUCCAUCCCUGGCCUUGCUCAGUGGGUUAAGGAUCCCGCGUUGCCGUGAGCUGUGGUGUAGGCUGGCGGCUACAGCUCCAAUUAGACCCCUAGCCUGGGAACCUCCAUAUGCUGUGGGAGUGGCCCUAGAAAAGGCAAAAAGACAAAAAGACAAAAAAAAAAAGAAAAAAUUCAGUAAGUGCUAAAAAAAAGUAAAAUAAAUAAGAUAAAAAAAGAAUAAAUUAAAAUUGUCAAAAAAUAUAGGAUGGAGUGUGUCUUGAAUAAUAUUCUGAGUUUCAAAAACUGAUAAGAUAAUAUGAAUUAUUUUUUAGUUCGCAUUGGAUUUCAGGAUUUCAUUUGCUUUCAUUAUUUAGGCUCUGCAAUUUUGUGGGCAUGUGAUUUUGCUUCAUUAUCAGGUACAAGUAUACUUAUUACAGCAUUUGAUUGUUAACACAGAAUUUUAUACCUAGAACAUCAAAAUUAACAUAUGCAAAUUUUCCCCUUUCCUGUAUACUUUUUAGUGUUUUUAAUUGAUAUUUAGGUGCUACAUUGAGAGAAGCUGAUGUAUGAGCUUCAUUCAGAUAAAAAUGUUGUUGAAACUAUUUAGUAAAUAUAUUUGUUUUAGAUAUUUUUAGCUAGUGGAUUCUAAAUGUUACAUUUCCUAAAUUAAUAAACCAGACACAUGGAUCUGUGGCAUAUUUGUGUUCUGAUGUGGUUUUGAAGAGGAAAUGUUUAACAAUAUACCUAAUAAUUUAUGAAUGUAGGUAACAAAAAAUCUGCCUUAGAUUCGGUUAUUGAACAUUAAUGUACUCAAUGGACGAUUGCCCCUUAAUUGCCGAGCAGGUCUGUGAGUCUCAGAAAUGGAAAAUUAGAAGAAUGUGUUUAUUAAAAUCAUCUAUGGUGCACUGUACUGAAACCACAGUUAUGAAGCAGAAGAAAUUGAUCUAUAAGGACUUUACGAAUAACCAAUGCAUAAAUUAAAACUUCUACCUUUAAUCUAUUAAAUAUUUAAGUAUGUCAAUGAGACAUUUGCAGUCUAAGUGCAUUUUGUGGGGAUUUGGAUAACAAUGUGACUGAGAGUAAGUGUCAACUUUCUGCUAAAACUAUAUUCUCCUUAAUGGUUAAUACCUUGUCACUUUUCCAUCUCCCAUUCCUAGCACACGGUCUGACACAUGAAAAAAGUAAAAACGAAAACAUCCAUCUGCAUUUUUCAGUAAGUGAAUAAAUGAGUAUAUGUGAGCAUAUCUUCAAUCAUGGUAAUAGCGUCAGGAUUUCUAUUUCAUGUAUUUUAAUGAGUCAUUCAGUGAUUAAAUUACAUAUCUCCUUACUACAUAUAAAGUACUGUGAUGGCACUUCAGUGGAAUUUAGAUGACUUAAACAGGGCCCUGCUUUUAAGGAACUUACAAUCAAAAAGGAAAUGUAGGGAGUUCCCGUCGUGGCGCAGUGGUUAACGAAUCCGCCUGGGAACCAUGAGGUUGCGGGUUCAGUCCCUGCGCUUGCUCAGUGGGGUAACGAUCCGGCGUUGCCAUGAGCUGUGGUGCAGGUUGCAGACGCGGCUUGGAUCCCGCGUUGCUGUGGCUCUGGCGUAGGCCAGUGGCUACAGCUCCGAUUCGACCCCUAGCCUGGGAACCUCCAUAUGCCAUGGGAGUGGCCCAAAGAAAUAGCAAAAAGACAAAAAAAAAAAAAAAAA